This 253-nucleotide ribosomal RNA is filed under the name uncultured bacterium. RNAcentral describes it as "partial 16S ribosomal RNA". It matches the Rfam family "Bacterial small subunit ribosomal RNA", at positions 524 to 776 of the family's 1533-position model. The record is from RNAcentral.
UACAGAGGGCUCAAGCGUUGUUCGGAAUCACUGGGCGUAAAGGGUGCGUAGGUGGCGUGGCAAGUCAGAUGUGAAAGCCCAGGGCUCAACCCUGGAAUUGCAUCCGAUACUGCCAUGCUGGAGUACUGAAGAGGUGACUAGAAUUCUCGGUGUAGCAGUGAAAUGCGUAGAUAUCGAGAGGAAUACCAAAGGCGAAGGCAGGUCACUGGGCAGUUACUGACACUGAGGCACGAAGGCCAGGGGAGCAAACGGG